GAGUUUGAUCCUGGCUCAGGACGAACGCUGGCGGCGCGCCUAACACAUGCAAGUCGAACGAGAGAGAGGAAGCUUGCUUCCUCAAUCGAGUGGCGAACGGGUGAGUAACGCGUGAGGAACCUGCCUCAAAGAGGGGGACAACAGUUGGAAACGACUGCUAAUACCGCAUAAGCCCACAGCUCGGCAUCGAGCAGAGGGAAAAGGAGCAAUCCGCUUUGAGAUGGCCUCGCGUCCGAUUAGCUGGUUGGUGAGGUAAUGGCCCACCAAGGCGACGAUCGGUAGCCGGACUGAGAGGUUGAACGGCCACAUUGGGACUGAGACACGGCCCAGACUCCUACGGGAGGCAGCAGUGGGGAAUAUUGCACAAUGGGGGAAACCCUGAUGCAGCGACGCCGCGUGGAGGAAGAAGGUCUUCGGAUUGUAAACUCCUGUUGUUGAGGAAGAUAAUGACGGUACUCAACAAGGAAGUGACGGCUAACUACGUGCCAGCAGCCGCGGUAAAACGUAGGUCACAAGCGUUGUCCGGAAUUACUGGGUGUAAAGGGAGCGCAGGCGGGAAGACAAGUUGGAAGUGAAAUCUAUGGGCUCAACCCAUAAACUGCUUUCAAAACUGUUUUUCUUGAGUAGUGCAGAGGUAGGCGGAAUUCCCGGUGUAGCGGUGGAAUGCGUAGAUAUCGGGAGGAACACAGUGGCGAAGGCGGCCUACUGGGCACCAACUGACGCUGAGGCUCGAAAGUGUGGGUAGCAAACAGGAUUAGAUACCGUGUAAGUCCACACGGUAAACGAUGAGUAGUAGGUGUUGGAGGAUUGACCCCUUCAGUGCCGCAGUUAACACGAUAAGUAAUCCACCUGGGGAGUACGACCGCAAGGUUGAGACUCAAAGGAAUUGACGGGGGCCCGCACAAGCAGUGGAGUAUGUGGUAUAAUUCGACGCAACGCGAAGAACCAUACCAAGUGUGGACAUCCCUUGACGAACAUAGAAAUAUGGUUUCUCUUCGGAGCAAGGAGACAGGUGGUGCAUGGUUGUCGUCAGCUCGUGUCGUGAGAUGUUGGGUUAAGUCCCGCAACGAGCGCAACCCUUACUGUCAGUUACUACGCAAGAGGACUCUGGCAGGACUGCCGUUGACAAAACGGAGGAAGGUGGGGAUGACGUCAAAUCAUCAUGCCCUUUAUGACUUGGGCUACACGCGUACUACAAUGGCGUUAAACAAAGAGAAGCAAGACCGCGAGGUGGAGCAAAACUCAGAAACCACCUCCCAGUUCGGACUGCAGGCUGCAACUCGCCUGCACGAAGUCGGAAUUGCUAGUAAUCGUGGAUCAGCACGCCACGGUGAAUACGUUCCCGGGCCUUGACACACCGCCCGUC
Molecule: ribosomal RNA, 1366 nt
Filed under: synthetic construct
Also listed under: 1 other name
Description: bacterial SSU rRNA
Rfam family: Bacterial small subunit ribosomal RNA
Source: RNAcentral